This 497-nucleotide ribosomal RNA is filed under the name uncultured bacterium. Its description in RNAcentral is "partial 16S ribosomal RNA". It matches the Rfam family "Bacterial small subunit ribosomal RNA", at positions 28 to 507 of the family's 1533-position model. The record is from RNAcentral.
GAUGAACGCUGGCGGCGUGCCUAAUACAUGCAAGUCGAGCGAACAGACGAGGAGCCUGCUCCUCUGACGUUAGCGGCGGACGGGUGAGUAACACGUGGAUAACCUACCUAUAAGACUGGGAUAACUUCGGGAAACCGGAGCUAAUACCGGAUAAUAUAUUGAACCGCAUGGUUCAAUAGUGAAAGACGGUUUUGCUGUCACUUAUAGAUGGAUCCGCGCCGCAUUAGCUAGUUGGUAAGGUAACGGCUUACCAAGGCAACGAUGCGUAGCCGACCUGAGAGGGUGAUCGGCCACACUGGAACUGAGACACGGUCCAGACUACUACGGGAGGCAGCAGUAGGGAAUCUUCCGCAAUGGGCGAAAGCCUGACGGAGCAACGCCGCGUGAGUGAUGAAGGUCUUCGGAUCGUAAAACUCUGUUAUUAGGGAAGAACAAAUGUGUAAGUAACUAUGCACGUCUUGACGGUACCUAAUCAGAAAGCCACGGCUAACUACGUG